Non-coding RNA from Biomphalaria glabrata, 57 nucleotides. The record is from Rfam. NCBI's taxonomy places the organism in Eukaryota, Metazoa, Mollusca, Gastropoda, Planorbidae.
UGGCUGAGUGGUAAAGCGCUUGGCUUUGAAACCAGGGGUUCUGGGUUUGAAUCUCGG